This 445-nucleotide ribosomal RNA is filed under the name uncultured bacterium. RNAcentral describes it as "SSU rRNA". It matches the Rfam family "Bacterial small subunit ribosomal RNA", at positions 26 to 518 of the family's 1533-position model. The record is from RNAcentral.
AGAACGAACGCUGGCGGCAGGCCUAACACAUGCAAGUCGAACGAGAUCUUCGGAUCUAGUGGCGCACGGGUGAGUAACGCGUGGGAACCUGUCCUUCGGUACGGAAUAACAUCGGGAAACUGGUGCUAAUACCGUAUAUUCCCUGAGGGGGAAAGAUUUAUCGCCGAAGGAGGGGCCCGCGUAGGAUUAGCUAGUUGGUGAGGUAACGGCUCACCAAGGCGACGAUCCUUAGCUGGUCUGAGAGGAUGAUCAGCCACACUGGGACUGAGACACGGCCCAGACUCCUACGGGAGGCAGCAGUGGGGAAUAUUGGACAAUGGGCGAAAGCCUGAUCCAGCCAUGCCGCGUGUGUGAUGAAGGCCUUCGGGUUGUAAAGCACUUUCACACGUGACGAUGAUGACGGUAACGUGAGAAGAAGCCCGGCUAACUUCGUGCCAGCAGCCGC